Non-coding RNA from Salvelinus sp. IW2-2015, 207 nucleotides. Lineage: Eukaryota; Metazoa; Chordata; Actinopteri; Salmoniformes; Salmonidae. The record is from RefSeq and is a predicted model, not a curated record.
UAGCUAGAUAGUGAAGCUAAAAUCAGGCCUGUAAGGAGAGGGAAGUAGCUAGGUGGUGUAGAUAAUAUCAGGGCCAUAAGGAGAGGGCAGUAGCUAGGUGGUGUAGAUAAUAUCAGGCCAGUAAGGAGAGGGGAGUAGCUAGGUGGUGUAGAUAAUAUCAGGCCAGUAAGGAGAGGGAGUAGCUAGGUGGUGUAGAUAAUAUCAGGC